This 229-nucleotide ribosomal RNA is filed under the name uncultured bacterium. RNAcentral's name for it is "partial 16S ribosomal RNA". It matches the Rfam family "Bacterial small subunit ribosomal RNA", at positions 568 to 796 of the family's 1533-position model. The record is from RNAcentral.
UCCGUAGGUGGAUAAUUAAGUCAGAGGUGAAAUCCUGCAGCUCAACUGUAGAAUUGCCUUUGAUACUGGUUAUCUUGAGUUAUUAUGAAGUAGUUAGAAUAUGUAGUGUAGCGGUGAAAUGCAUAGAUAUUACAUAGAAUACCAAUUGCGAAGUCAGAUUACUAAUAAUCAACUGACACUGAUGGACGAAAGCGUGGGGAGCGAACAGGAUUAGAUACCCUGGUAGUCC